UUAGCGCGAAGUUGAAAUAACUCAGAAGAAAGGUUUCUUUCAGCUCUUCAGACAUCAACUAUCAAUAAUAACCAACAUAAAAGAUUUCGCCAGCUCUAAAGGAACAACAUCAUGACAACCAUCAAUGAGUUUGCACUACUACUGGGUCUAAGGCCGAAGCAAUAUGUAUCCAAUGCUACUCUGACCCGUCGAAAUCCCCCAGGAGAACCAAGCCAACAUCAUUAUGAUCGAGAAACAAGAACAGAAGAACAUAGGUCUACUAUUUGUUCAAUAAAACAUCCCCCUGCUGAACAAUCAAAAGAUAUUUCCCUGC
This is a long non-coding RNA of Liolophura sinensis, 313 nucleotides long. RefSeq lists it as uncharacterized. NCBI's taxonomy places the organism in Eukaryota, Metazoa, Mollusca, Polyplacophora, Chitonida, Chitonidae. The transcript has 3 exons. The record is from RefSeq and is a predicted model, not a curated record.